CAAUGGGGCGCUGCGGAGGGAGGCACGGCUGCAGCUCCCGGCUGGGGAGGGGGCGGGGAGGGGCCCCGGCGGCCUCGAGCUCCUUCCCCCUCCUCCUCCCCAGCUGGGCUCUCCCCAGGGGAAGCCCCCACCCCGAGAAAGUCACCCCCCAGGCCCGGGCGAGCCAGGUGGGAGUGCCCGGAGGGAGGGGAAGGGGGCACCGCUAGGGGGCGGCGCGGACCCUGGGGCUCAGAGGGGUCCUCCGAAGCUGUAGAAAGCCGGGAAACCUGGGCAGCGCCUGGGCCUUGGGCCUGCGGUGCAGGGGGCGCCGGAAGGGGGUGGGGGUCUGAAAAGGAGACAUCCGGGGAAGAGGGUCGCAGGCUUUGGGCGGUCUGGGAUUUGAGGGAGCCUAUGGGGCAAGGAGAUGGGGACGGAGGGCCCUUUGAGCGAAGAGAGCACAGGAGGGGGUCCCAGGAGAGCUGGGUGUGGGGGGAGAGCGAGCCUGGGGAAGGCGGAGCAGGCGCUGGAGAGGCACUUGGAGGUGUGAGGCUGGCGCCUGGCAGCCCGGAGGGGACAGGGGAGGAGAAGUUGGGAGAGGUCACUGGGGUGCCCGGCUCUGCACACCCCCCACCAAGGCUGGGACACCAAGCAAGAGGGACGUCAGAAGUGGGCACAAAGAAACCCAUAGGGGCUCAGUAUCUUUCCAAGGGCCGGAAAUGGGCCAGAAACGUCACUGUGUCUUCACCCUGCUCCUUCAGGUGAGGCCCUGUGGGCAGCCAAGGGGCAAAGAGGGGGCUCAAGAAGGAAGAAAAGGGGACAAGGGAGCCUUCUGAUCCCCAUGGUCUGAAUCUCAGCCUGGGGGGUGGCAGGUGGGGCCGCCUGAGAGGUCAAAAUUUGGCAGGCAUGGCCAGAGAGCCGUGGAAAAGAUGAGGAAGCAGCAGAGGCUCACUCAUGCCUGCACCUGUCCUCAGGGCCACCCUGUCCCUAUAUUCCAUUCAGCUUUCCAACACCACCCCUGAGCUGUACUAGGUGUUGAACUAAGGGGCUUUGCCCUGAGCUACAUCCCCAGUGCUUAAAAUUUUUAAUUUAGCUUAUCUUGCUGUUACCAAGGCUAGGUUUGAACUUGCUAUCUUCCUGCCUCAGCCUCCUGCUUCAGCCUCCUUUUCUUUAGGAUCAGGUUUCAGAGGUUAACCCAAACAUCAAAUUUCUCUGCAUUGGGUAUAAAAAAG
Molecule: long non-coding RNA, 1208 nt
Filed under: Fukomys damarensis (Damara mole-rat)
Lineage: Eukaryota; Metazoa; Chordata; Mammalia; Rodentia; Bathyergidae
Description: lncRNA (ENSFDAG00000027293.1)
Source: RNAcentral